Molecule: ribosomal RNA, 504 nt
Filed under: uncultured bacterium
Lineage: Bacteria
Description: partial 16S ribosomal RNA
Rfam family: Bacterial small subunit ribosomal RNA
Source: RNAcentral
AUUGAACGCUGGCGGCAGGCCUAACACAUGCAAGUCGAACGGUAGCACAGAGAGCUUGCUCUCGGGUGACGAGUGGCGGACGGGUGAGUAACGUCUGGGAAACUGCCCGAUGGAGGGGGAUAACUACUGGAAACGGUAGCUAAUACCGCAUAACGUCGCAAGACCAAAGUGGGGGACCUUCGGGCCUCACACCAUCGGAUGUGCCCAGAUGGGAUUAGCUAGUAGGUGGGGUAAUGGCUCACCUAGGCGACGAUCCCUAGCUGGUCUGAGAGGAUGACCAGCCACACUGGAACUGAGACACGGUCCAGACUCCUACGGGAGGCAGCAGUGGGGAAUAUUGCACAAUGGGCGCAAGCCUGAUGCAGCCAUGCCGCGUGUAUGAACAAGGCCUUCGGGUUGUAAAGUACUUUCAGCGGGGAGGAAGGCGGUGGAGUUAAUAACUUCACCGAUUGACGUUACCCGCAGAAGAAGCACCGGCUAACUCCGUGCCAGCAGCCGCGGUAA